CGAACGCUGGCGGCAUGGAUUAGGCAUGCAAGUCGAACGAGAAACUUCGCUUCGGUGGAGUGGAAAGUGGCGAAAGGGUGAGUAACGCGUGAGUAAGCUGCCCUCAAGUUGGGAAUAAUACUUCGAAAGGGGUACUAAUACCGAAUGUGGUUAAUAAAUUGCAUAAUUUAUUAUCUAAAGAUUUAUCGCUUGAGGAUGUGCUCGCGUCCCAUUAUGCUUGUUGGUAAGGUAACGGCUUACCAAGGCUCUGACGGGUAGGUGGUCUGAGAGGAUGGUCACCCACACUGGGACUGAGACACUGCCCAGACUCCUACGGGAGGCUGCAGUCGAGAAUCUUCCGCAAUGGGCGAAAGCCUGACGGAGCAAUGCCGCGUGCAGGAUGACGGCCUUUGGGUUGUAAACUGCUGUCACAGGGGAUGAAUCAAUGACAGUACCCUGAGAGGAAGCCACGGCUAACUAC
RNAcentral lists this ribosomal RNA (460 nucleotides) under uncultured bacterium. RNAcentral describes it as "bacterial SSU rRNA". It matches the Rfam family "Bacterial small subunit ribosomal RNA", at positions 30 to 504 of the family's 1533-position model. The record is from RNAcentral.